This is a long non-coding RNA of Cavia porcellus (domestic guinea pig), 6029 nucleotides long. RefSeq lists it as uncharacterized. Lineage: Eukaryota; Metazoa; Chordata; Mammalia; Rodentia; Caviidae. The transcript is spliced from 4 exons. The record is from RefSeq and is a predicted model, not a curated record.
GCCUGAUGGGCGUCCUCUCUUCUCCCAGAAGCUUCUGGCUGGCUGCCUGUCCCUGACCUGAUUUUCGGGGCUUUUAGCUCUGGGGUGGGCAACGGGUUAGCCAAAGAGCACCUUGCUCAUGGUCAGUUUAGCAUCUGCAGGGCCGUGAGGACGUCUGCUGAGUCCGUAUCGUAGGAUGGAGAGACAAACCCUGGAGCAGGUGCCCCGGUGCCCGCAGAGUUGAGCGUCAUCACCGCCGCAGCCUCCUCCUGCUGGAGUGUGUGUGGCGCAUGCGCGCGGCCUUCCCGCCGCGUCCUGCCGAUGCUCUCUGUUCUCCGUGUGGGAGUCCAAGGCCACGGGAUCCUUUCUUUCUCUCUUUCCCUCCACCCCCUCGGCCUGUUUCCCAGGGAAUCGCUCCAUCCGGUACAGUGUGCUUCUCUCACCUGCAGAUCCCUGAUCCUGCAAACCCUCUCCGGAGCCAGGGCCGCAGGCCGCCUCCACGCGGGCCGCAGCUAAGUGGAUUCCACAGAGACUGAGACACAGAUUUAACAAUAAACGAGUGAGUCAUACUGGGUGGUUUAGACCAGUGCCUGGCACUCAAUAAGUGUUAGGUAAGUGCUAAACAAAUAGAAACUGGUGGUGGUGAUGCAUGCCUAUAAUUCCAGCACUUGGGGGGCUGAGGCAGGAGGAUCUCAGCCUGUGCUACAUAAUGAGACUCUGUUGCAAAAAACCUAAAUAAAUAAAUAUAACGCUAAAAAAAUAAUAAAAUACAGACAAAUCAGGGUGGGGAAGUCUGUGAAGACACCUACACUUGGGGCAGUCGAGUCUCCUCACAGAUCUUCCCCAGCCUACUUUGGAAACUUUAUUCAGUGCUAGGGAUUGAGCCCAGGCCCUCACACACAUUGGGCAGAGGCUCUACCGCUGAGCUACAUCCUCCUCCUCAAGUGUUCAGUCCAGAGGCUCGGUUUUCUUGCCUAUUAAGUGAAAAUCAUAAUGAUAGCUCAAGAGGGUUGUGGCCCAUACCAAGUGAGACCAGGGAGAUAUCAGAGAUGAAAGUCUCUCCUCUGGGAACUGUAAAGCACUCACUCUGCAAACGUUCCUUUCUUAGGGUUCCUUUCUCAAAGUGCGGCCCAGUAAAGGGGCUGGAAGGUGUUCUGUGGCACAGAAGCAGUCUCAGGGUGACCUGCUCUUCACCCUAGCCCCCUCUGGCCACAGCCAUGUGUGGGGCAGGGGACAGCUGUGUCCCUGGCUCCCAGCAUGGGAACACAGUGCACCUUGAGUCCUAGAUGGGGGAGUACAGUCACAGGGAUCCCCAGGUGGCAGCUCUACUGUGCCCACGGCAACAGCCUUCUGGGAUAGGUGAAGUCCAGGGCUGCCUGAGAAGCGGAGGACCAGAAGUAACCUCCUGUUCCCAGAGAAAGGGCACAGUGAGUUUUAAAUGAGCAUCUUCAUGAAUGCGCUGGAGCUACGCAGCCCUUUCCAGCAGCCCAUUCUAGCAGCGGAGGCUGCUGUACUGUCCGGGCACAACCCACUGGGCCUGCCUUCCCCGAAUGGGCUUCGCAAAACAGCAGAGACAGAGAACUUGCUGUGAGCGGGGAGAAGUCGCUCUUCCUUUCCCUGUCACUGGGAGGGAGUCAGGGUUACAUGUUGGUGCCUCUAGGAAUAAAUUACAGAAACAUGAAAGUGACUCACCCAGACUGUGGCGAAGACAGGACUCUGGGGUACACUGCACAGAAGAAGCUGCCACAGAGGGAGACCAGUGAUAAAAAGCCACCAAGGAGAGGGGUGCCAGAAAAGGGACCAGGAGGGAUGGAGCUCUUCAAAAUCAGUUUUUUAGCAGGGCAUAGUGGUGCACACCUGUAAUCCUAGCACUUGGGAGCCUGAGACAGGAGAGUCAUUGUGAGGACAAGACCAGCCUGGGCUGCAAAGUGAGCUAAAGGCCGGUCUAAACUGCAUAGCAGGACCCCGUCUCAAAACACUAAAAAGGGAAAAAAAAUAAAAUGGUAAGAUAACACAGUAAGAUUACUAAGACCCAAUUCGUAUUGACCAAUAUGUGACUGACCAGGGCUGUGGAGAUGGCAGCCAGAUGCCUAGGGACAGCCUGGGGGAGAUCAUACCACUCUCCCAGUGAGCUGCAGAGAGAGGGAUGGGAGCGUGGCAGGCCUGAAAACCUGGCCCUAGAAUGGAAAUGGAAGGCCAAGGGAGGAGCCUUUCUGGGCAGUUCAGCAGACCAAUGCUAUCCUUCCUGGCCCUCAUCACUCAAGGUCCUCAAGUGGCCUUGGAGACCAUGACAGGCACUACCCCAGCCUCCUGCCAGAGCUGCCCUAAAGCCAGUCCACACCGACCAGAAGCAGCUCCCUGUGAAGGGGAUUCCUCCAGAACUGUGGGAAAUUAUUCAAAUGGCUAACAGCCCUGCUUUUUAUUUUUUAGUUUUUUGAGACAGUCUUGCUGUGUAUUCCAGGUUGGCUUUGCACUCAUGGUGAGCCUCCUGCCUCAGCCUGUCAAAGUAGGGGAUCACAGGAGUGUGCCACCAUGCCUGGAUGCUUGGAAGAUUUGGGAUGUGGAGAGCAGAGCACAGCCACUAACUUACUGGGUGACCUUUAACAUUCAGCCCACACAUGGCAGGCCAGGGACCUGCUGUGACCACAGGAUUCCAGCCAGCCCCAUAGGACUUUCUUUUGAGUUGAGGGGAAAGAUCAGCUGAGUGGGAACAGAGUCAGCCCCACCCAUUGGUCUGUUCUGACGGAGGGAUCCACACAAACCUGGGGGGGGAUCUGGUGCUCAAAAUUUUGCCCACCAUCGGGCUGGAUAUGGACAAUAACGUGACUGAUCUUUAACUGCGAUCCUCCUGCCUCAGCCUGUCAAGCACUGGAAUUACAGGUAUGCACCAUCAUGCCCAGCUAUUCUGGGAAAAAAUAUUUAUAUCCAUUUUAUUUCAAGGAGAAAUGAAGAAAUAAAGGAGAAAAGAAGAAGACAAGAAACUACAACAAAAUUUCAAAACACAUCAAUGAGGCAACAACAGUGGUACCUACAUUGUACAUUGUCAUCCCCAAAUCUUUCUUCCAGAGCACAAGACAUCUGUGUUCCAUUGUCCAAACAACACCAGCACAGAUCUUUGUCUUCAGUAAACUCAGAGAAAUCAGUAGUGUAGCUGUCUUAGCUAGUUUUUUAUAUACACAUGUAUGCGUUCUUUUAGCUUCUCAUGCUAGUAAGACAAUAUGAUGUUUACACAUGUGUGUCUGAUUUAUUUCACUCAUGUGUAUGAUCUCAGGUUGCAUCCAUUUACCUAUAAAAGUCUCCAGUUUAUCCUUCUUUAUGGCUGAGUAUUACUACGUUGUGUGAAAAUACAUCUUUUUUAUCCAUUCCUUAGUUGAUGGGCAUUUAAGGUUGUUUCCAAGAUCUGGCUAUUACAAACUGUGCUGCUAUAAACAUGGAUGCACAUAUAUCACUGUGGUAUGAUGUUUUUAAUUCUUUUGGGAGGAUACCCAGAAGGGGAAUAGCUGGAUUGAAUGGGACCUCUAAUCCUAGUUUUUUGAGGAAUCUCCACACUGAUUUCCACAGUGGUUGCACAAUCUGCAUUCUCAGCAACAGUGGAGAAGGGUUCCUUUUUCCCCACAUCCCCUCUAGCAUUUGUUAUUGGUUGAUUUCUUGCUAACAGCCGUUCUGCCUGGGGUGAGGUGGAAUCUCUGUGUUUUAAUUUGCAUCUCUCAAGGGAUCAGUGAUGUCAAGCAUUUUUUCACAUAUGUAUUUGCCAUUUGCAUUUCCCCAUCUGAGAAGUGUGUGUUCAUCUCAGGUGGCCAUUUUUGGACUGGGCGUUUAAAUCUGGGAGGACUGAUUUUUGUGAGUUCUUUAUAUGGGGAGAUGCUUUUUUAAAGCAUGAUAGAUGCCAUUUUCUCACUUCCGCAGUGCGCUACCUUUUGUAUUGGCCGGUGAGUGACGCGGUUGCUGUCCUUGAAACGGAGUCCUCGCCGAAUACAGCUGAAGGAGGGCUCGGCCUCGCUGGCUGCUGGCCAUGGGUCUGCUACUCUACUCAGUCACAUGCACUUUCCUGCGGCCAGUUUCUCUGUGUCCUGCGGCUCACGAGACCCUGGCAGAGCAGCUGGACAUCUCCUUUCUUCUGGAAAUGCAGCAACAUGAAAAGAAGAGCUGUUAUUUCCAAGGGUGGAAGUCGGGGCAAGGAUCUGUGUGGCUCAGGUGCAAGCUGGUUCCUACAUCAAGACCCCGAGUCCCCACUCGUAAUUUUUCCUCUGCACAGAUUCCGGUACCUUUGCACUUGGGAAAAAGUUCAGAUUCCACGGCCGGACCUCUGACCCUUGGUUCGUGGCUGGGGGGACAAGUGACAGACAAAGAGGGAAGUGGUGAGUGCUGGGAGGUCUGCUAGCACCUGUGAAAUCUGCAGAGCGAGAAAUACACAGGAGUCAUCCACAUGACACUAUUCAAGGCAGUGUCUAAUGUUUGGGGUCGGUGCUUCAGCUCUGAUGUCCAUGCUUCAUGCCCCGAGACAACAUGGAUUCUCUCUCAAGCUUCAGUCUCGGCUGACAGCUCAAUAUCAGUCACCCAGCCCACGCAUACUCGUUGGGAGCUGCAGGUGGGGCAUCACUGGUACCUUGCCCCUUGCUUUAAAGGCUACACAUCAGCACCCAGUGGUCCUCUGCAUUGUGGGAAGUCACCUUCUAUGUCAUCAACUCGACACUCCCUUCUGCAUUCCCUGCCCCAACAGACUCCGCCAGCCUUCAGCUCCCUCCUGAGUCACAAGUGACCUAUUUUCCUUUAGACAUUCUCAUGCCCUCCAUGCAUAUUCAAGGAAAGAGAUCAUCAUCUCCCACAGAGGAUUCAAGGGAAUGUGGCAGGGUGUGGUCCUCCAGCCCCACGUGAGCAACUGUACCAUGAAUGCCACCAUCCCAGCAGGCACCACAGCAGCAGAGGAACUGCCAUCCAGCCGGGCGCUUUGAAUGCAGAGUGCUGGCCACAGGGCCAGAGAGAGGGGAGGGAUGUUUUACCCUCACGAGGCCCGUCACUCCCUCAUCCCAUGACACUUAUAAAAACUUCUGCUGCCCCACUGGGCUCUCUGCGGGUCACCACAGGUCUCCCUUGGUCAUGCCACUGGUCAUCACCGAUUUCUGCUGGUUGCCCCAGGUGUCACCGGGUCUUUUUGCUGUCCACUCAGCUCACUCUACAUGAGAUAAGAAUCAAGGGUAGGCAAUAGGACCACAGAGUGAGCCUUUACAGGGAGCUAUGCUGUGGCACAGGGCUGCGUGCUCUCGUGGCCCCCGGAGUAUUUGGGGGCCCACUGUAGACUGAGCCACAGAGGCUGCAUCUGUGGCUGUGCACAUUCUGUGGGCUUGUUAAGGAUUUUCAGAGUAAGGCACGGAUCAGAGUCACCAGGAGAGGCUGUAUGAUAGGUCUGUGUCUCAAGCACUUGUUCACCAGGGAAAAUAUGUCCCCAGGGGAUUGCCAAUUGUCCAGGACCUAUCACGACCAGGCUUGAAGAAACGGCUGCUUGGUUAACAAUGCUGACCUAUUUCAGCUGGACUCACGCAGGACAUUGCGGUGGGCCCCAGGCCCUCAGCUGGAUUCUCUGGGUCCCUAGUGUAUGGACAGAUGCCCUGCACUCUUUUGCGUCAGACUUUUUUUUUUUUUUUGGUAUCAGGACUUGAACUCAUGACCUCAGGCUUGCCAGGCAGGUGCUUAGCAUUUGACUUUUUGUGUAAAUAUUAUAAAAUAAUCGUAUAAAUUUUGUGUCUUGUAAGUCUUUUCCCUGUAAACCCUGACUACAACAAUAGGCUUAUAAAAUAUUUCUAUCUGCCUGGCAAGUAUGAGGUCCUGACUUUCAUUCCCACUACCCCCUGAGCAAGUAAAUAAAUAAAUAAGUAAAAUAUUUGUGAAAAAAUAUUUUUAAAACACUGAUAACUGCAGUUUCCUCUGGAGAUGCAAAUCAAAAGAGGAAGAAAGUGGAAAAUUGAUUUAUUUUUCGUUAUAAACUUUUUUGUGUUGCUUCAGUAUUUACCUCUGUUGUAUAUAUUAAUAUUAAAAAAUGAUAUGUAAUUUUU